This 303-nucleotide ribosomal RNA is filed under the name uncultured bacterium. Its description in RNAcentral is "partial 16S ribosomal RNA". It matches the Rfam family "Bacterial small subunit ribosomal RNA", at positions 507 to 809 of the family's 1533-position model. The record is from RNAcentral.
AGCAGUAGCCGCGGUAAUACGUAGGUGGCAAGCGUUGUCCGGAAUUAUUGGGCGUAAAGGGCUCGCAGGCGGUUUCUUAAGUCUGAUGUGAAAGCCCCCGGCUCAACCGGGGAGGGUCAUUGGAAACUGGGAAACUUGAGUGCAGAAGAGGAGAGUGGAAUUCCACGUGUAGCGGUGAAAUGCGUAGAGAUGUGGAGGAACACCAGUGGCGAAGGCGACUCUCUGGUCUGUAACUGACGCUGAGGAGCGAAAGCGUGGGGAGCGAACAGGAUUAGAUACCCCUGUAGUCCCUGUCUCUUAUAA